RNAcentral lists this ribosomal RNA (472 nucleotides) under uncultured bacterium. Its description in RNAcentral is "partial 16S ribosomal RNA". It matches the Rfam family "Bacterial small subunit ribosomal RNA", at positions 28 to 523 of the family's 1533-position model. The record is from RNAcentral.
GACGAACGCUGGCGGCGUGCUUAACACAUGCAAGUCGAACGGGAGUAUCGAAGAAGCUUGCUUUUAAGAUACUUUAGUGGCGGACGGGUGAGUAACGCGUGAGGAGCUGUCCUAUGCAGGGGGACAACAGUUGGAAACGACUGCUAAUACCCCAUAAGCCGAGAGGUAAAAGGAUUUAUCCGGCAGAGGAGGUACUCGCGUCCUAUCAGCUAGUAGGUGAGGUAACGGCUCACCUAGGCGAAGACGGGUAGCCGGCCUGAGAGGGCGAACGGCCACACUGGAACUGAGAUACGGUCCAGACUCCUACGGGAGGCAGCAGUGGGGAAUAUUGGGCAAUGGGGGGAACCCUGACCCAGCGACGCCGCGUGGGUGAAGAAAUCCUUCGGGAUGUAAAGCCCUGUUGUAUGGGAAGAGCAGAAGACGGUACCAUACGAGGAAGCCCCGGCAAACUACGUGCCAGCCGCCGCCGUAA